RNAcentral lists this long non-coding RNA (622 nucleotides) under Panax ginseng (ginseng). RNAcentral describes it as "long non-coding RNA (PGIN_LNC017501)". The record is from RNAcentral. Lineage: Eukaryota; Viridiplantae; Streptophyta; Magnoliopsida; Apiales; Araliaceae.
AUUAUAUUAUAAAUUAUCAUUAAAAUAUUAUAAAUUAGUGUUAGUGAGGGUUAUAUGUGAUUGAUUAUAUUAUAAAUUAUCAUUAAAAUAUUUAAUGUCAUACCAUUUUAGACCCAAGAAAAUGGACAUUAAUUUGCUCUACUGCGAGCUACCAGGAAAGGCAGGAGCAGGUAACGGGUAAGCUUGUGACACAGGUAAUUAGCAGCCCAUCUGUUUGUCAAAAUGUCUCAAAGAGCUUGGAUGGUGAAAAACCUAUGAAAUGAUAUCCUUCUUUGGUUGCAGAUAGUAAUAUUUUCGUGAGAUUCCCCAUGAUGGCUCGGGAUUUAAUUGGAAGCGCUGAGAAGCUUACCUACACAUUUAAGAAUAAUGCUAGAUAACUAGGCAAAAGCUGUCUAGUUUACCAAGAGACAACAUUCAUAGAUUGUACAGUACAACCAUCAGUGCGUUGUCUAGGUAAAACAGAUAGUUUUUGUUUACUUACUCAGCAUUACUCCACAAUUAAACGAGGCAGGACAGGUAACAUGUGUUUAUGCUUCCUUUUAUAUAUGCCAAUUGAUAUGUGGAAUGGAUUUAGAAACACCCAUUAAGGUCCGUGUAUUCCAAGCCAUAAGUCUUGGAAAAG